AAUUAUUAAAUAGCCGCGGUAUCUUGACCGUGCAAAGGUAGCAUAAUCAUUAGUUUUUUAAUUGAAAACUUGUAUGAAUGGUUGGACAAAGAACAAACUGUCUCUUUUGUUUUUAUUGAAUUUAACUUUUAAGUGAAAAGGCUUAAAUAUUCUAGAGGGACGAUAAGACCCUAUAAAGCAUUUGGUUGGGGCGACAGUGGUAUAAGUUGUAACUGCUAUAGUGUUUAACAAAAAUAUUUGAAUUGAUCCUUUAUAAGGAUUUUAAGAUCAAGUUACUUUAGGGAUAACAGCGUUAUUUUUUCUGAGAGUUCUUAUCAAAGAAAAAGUUUGCGACCUCGAUGUUGAAUUAAAAUGUCUUUAUAGUGCAGCAGCUAUAAAAGAA
This 382-nucleotide ribosomal RNA is filed under the name Charybdis feriata. RNAcentral's name for it is "partial 16S large subunit ribosomal RNA". It matches the Rfam family "Archaeal large subunit ribosomal RNA", at positions 1995 to 2642 of the family's 2987-position model. Lineage: Eukaryota; Metazoa; Arthropoda; Malacostraca; Decapoda; Portunidae. The record is from RNAcentral.